This 200-nucleotide ribosomal RNA is filed under the name uncultured bacterium. Its description in RNAcentral is "partial 16S ribosomal RNA". It matches the Rfam family "Bacterial small subunit ribosomal RNA", at positions 30 to 232 of the family's 1533-position model. The record is from RNAcentral.
AUUGAACGCUGGCGGCAUGCCUUACACAUGCAAGUCGAACGGCAGCGCGGGGCAACCUGGCGGCGAGUGGCGAACGGGUGAGUAAUAUAUCGGAACGUACCCUGGAGUGGGGGAUAACGUAGCGAAAGUUACGCUAAUACCGCAUACGAUCUACGGAUGAAAGCAGGGGACCUUCGGGCCUUGCGCGAUUGAAUGAGCCG